This 21-nucleotide non-coding RNA is filed under the name Caenorhabditis elegans. Lineage: Eukaryota; Metazoa; Nematoda; Chromadorea; Rhabditida; Rhabditidae. The record is from RNAcentral.
UUUACUUCUGACAUUUAACGG